This 2135-nucleotide long non-coding RNA is filed under the name Manihot esculenta (cassava). Its description in RNAcentral is "long non-coding RNA (MESC_LNC000701)". Lineage: Eukaryota; Viridiplantae; Streptophyta; Magnoliopsida; Malpighiales; Euphorbiaceae. The record is from RNAcentral.
AUCAGCUGAAGUUUGAUCAUCGUCACAACCACUAAAGGAAAUGACUUCUCCACCACUUGUUCCUUUCCACAUGCCAGAUCGUGGACGAUGGUCCUCCCAUAUAUACUGUCCACUCCUGUUGCAAACAAAGUAAGACAUAAUCAGAACAAGCAACUUUUAGUACUCUAAAAUUAUUUCAAACAAGAAAUACAAAGACAAUAUGGUAAAAGAAGAAAUGAAUAGCAGGCUAUAUAUUUAUCAAGACAAUAUAUCUAUGCUGAAAAAAAAAAUCAACCAAUACAUGGUCAGUCAUACAAAACUUCUAAUGAAAGAUAUUUAUGGAGUUAAUUGGGAACCAAAUAAUAUAGGGUGAGUGUUAUGGACUCUUUUCUAGUAUUUGAUUUAUUUUAGAAUUAGAUUGCUUUAUCAUUUAUUUUAGGAUUAGAAUGUUUUAUCUUAUCUCUUAGUUGUCUUAUUGAACUCCUAUCUUAGUAGAAUUGUGUUAAACAAUGACACUAUUCCCUUUAUAUAUUACUGGAAAAUCAGACAUAAAAUAAGCAGAUUUAUUUCAUCUAAAUUGAGAUCUGAAUUCUCUCUCAACGAGUUUAAAAGAUCAGAUCUCCCUUUAUUGAGCUCACAACAACAACAGAUCUCCCUUUAUUGAGCUCACAACAACAACAGAUCUCCCUUUAUUGAGCUCACAACAACAACAAUUAGACAAGGAAAGAAUCAAGGAAAACCAACGGUUUCAGCCUUGGACACUGAUUUUACUGGAAGCAGAUUUGUGACGCGAUCUAUAAUCCGGAACAGUAACAAAUUGGUAUCAGAGCCUAGCGCCAUGGGAGAUCAAAAUUAUCUACGGCAAAAAUUAGAAUCCCAUAUCAAACUCUCUGAAGAAAGUUACUAACAGCAACGUCAGGAACAAAGAGAGAUUCGAGGAUUACUUGAGACUAUAACUAAGCAAUUAACUUUGGCUCGAGAGGCUAAACAAAGGAGAACCAAGAUCCUGAAAUGGGAACAAGCAGCAACAACAACCAAUCAAAUUUUACAACUAAUCAAAUUUUACAAAGAGAACUGAAGAUUGGGUUGAUGUUAGUCCUGGAACUACAGUAGUGCCGCGCUAUACUAAGUUGGACUUUCCUACUUAUGAUAGCACAGAGGACCCACUGGGGUGGCUGAAUCGUUGUGAUCAAUUUUUCCACAAUCAAAGAACUGCAGAAGCUGGCAAAGUGGGACUUGCAACAUUUCACAUGAUUGGAGAAGCUCAAUUAUGGAUUUUUAAACCAGACUAGAAAGAAUCAAAAAUAACUUGGGACAACCUUAAAAACUAUUGCCACUUGCGCUUUGGACCUCCACUAAGAAGCAAUCCAAUUGAACACAAGUUCAACCUAUUUUUCAUACUAUUUUUAGCAUUAAAUUGAGUAUUUUUCUGACUAAUUUUGUAUUUUUUAUUAUAUUUCGCAGAAAAGUAAAAAGAAAAGAAGAUUUGAUAAAAAGUGAUUUAAAAGCGCUGAAAUUGACUUGAUCAGCGAUUUUGGGCAAAUCUAUUGGAUGAUCAUAUUGCAAGAAGCCAGGAAUGGCUCAAGCCCGCUACCUGACUUAACCAUUCUCAGAUGAUAGAUUUGACCAGUGAUUUGGGCAAAACUAUCGGAUGAUCAUACUACACAGAAGUCAGAAAUGGCUCAGGCCCGCAAACUAACUUAACCAUUCACAGAUGAUGGAUUCAACCAAUGAUUUGCCCAAACCAUAGGGCAAAUCAAUAGGCGGCACGGAAUUUGAUAGUGAGCAAAUCCAGAUUUGAAAAUAAAAGGACCAAAACACCUCAGUAAAAGCUGCGAGACCCACGCGAUUUCUCCUCCUUCAGUACGGCACCAAAUCAUCCUUAAAUCAAAGAGUUCUAUCAUUGGAAGAAACAUAUUGAAGGAAGGAGUCCUAAUGCAAAACAAAGUAGAAUUCUAUUCCCAAAAGGAUUUUGGUAGGGUUAAACACCUAUAUAAGCCAAUCAUUGAGGACAACCGCAUUUCUCUUCUGGAGCAUCAAGCCUUCAUCUUGAAUUCUCUCCUCUUUUAUAUUGUCUUUGAAAGCCAUAAGUGGCUAAACUCUUUAUUUCUAGUUGAAGUUAGAUACAUGAAUUGUGAGAUCUAGAUACAAUUGUU